UGUCGAUACCUGUCCAAAACAGAACGACCCGCGAAUCAACGAUCACCACUCUCGGUGGGCCGGUUUCUUAACCGAUCCCGUGCUCGCCGGAUCCGUGGUUUCGCGUAUCGCCUUGAUCGGGAGCUUUAUCUCGGUCUUGUCGUGCGCGUUGCUUCCGGAUAUCACAAAACCCCGGCACGAAAAGUGUCAAGGAACAAGCAAACGAACGGCUGGCAUUCGCCUCCCCGGAGACGGUGUGUGCGCGGAUGCUAUGCUGCGAUAUAAAGUCUAAAACGACUCUCGGCAACGGAUAUCUCGGCUCUCGCAUCGAUGAAGAACGUAGCGAAAUGCGAUACUUGGUGUGAAUUGCAGAAUCCCGUGAACCAUCGAGUCUUUGAACGCAAGUUGCGCCCCAAGCCUUCUGGCCGAGGGCACGUCUGCCUGGGUGUCACAAAUCGUCGUCCCCCAUAUUCCUUUGCGAAUGCGGGACGGAAGCUGGUCUCCCGUGUGUUACCGCAUGCGGUUGGCCUAAAUCCGAGCCAAGGACGCCCGGAGCGUCCCGACAUGCGGUGGUGAACAUGAUCCAUUUCAUAUUGUCGGUCGCUCCUGUCCGGAAGCUGUAGAUGACCCAAAGUCCUUUAAGCGACCCCAGGUCAGGCGGGAUUACCC
This 648-nucleotide unclassified non-coding RNA is filed under the name Arabidopsis halleri subsp. ovirensis. RNAcentral describes it as "sequence contains ITS1, 5.8S rRNA gene and ITS2". The stretch from base 275 to 430 matches the Rfam family "5.8S ribosomal RNA". The record is from RNAcentral. Lineage: Eukaryota; Viridiplantae; Streptophyta; Magnoliopsida; Brassicales; Brassicaceae.